GGCAACCAACACCCAGCUGGACCACACUGCUGACCCCCAGUACUGCAGCCCUGGAGGGGUUUUGGUGCUGGACCUGUGAUGGGGACAGUGAGACAGCAUCCCAGCCUUUGGGAAGAGGUGGGUAAAGAGACUCCAUGCAGCACCUCUGCAUCUGCAGCAUCCCUGGGCAUAUUCUUCCUGUGCUCUGUUGGAGGAGUUGGCAUCAAUUCAGGACCAGCCCUUGGGAUGUGGAGAGAUGGACCAACUUCCUUCUGGAGGAAGCAAGCAGUGAGCAACCCCAUUACAGCUGAUAAUGAAGGCAAGGUGCACAUUCUUCAGCACACAGCCUAAUCUCAACCAGAUGAAAUGCAAAAAGCAGAAGCACUAAGGGAGAAGUCAGCAUUUGCAAAAAGCAGCCCCAAGAAUCAGACUGCCUCAGAUUGCCAAGAGAUCAGAUAAAAGCCCUCAUUACAACCUGCCAACGUGCGUGCGAUGAAAAGAAAGAUAUGGCCACGAGACAGGGAUGCAUGCACAGAGCCACCUGCAGCCCCCAGCAACGACUUUGCCAUUGGGGUGGGUUACAUCACACCAAGUGAGGGUAUGGCCUGAAGUAGGAUGAAGUAGUUUUGCAUGAACAUGCACAAAGGCACAGUGCAUGCAGCUGGAGAGCUCAGCAACACCAUGUUGAGGUCUUUUUGGCUCCGGUACAAAGCAAAAGAAUGCAGAUAAAUAAGAAAGGAGGUGAUAAAGCA
Molecule: long non-coding RNA, 731 nt
Organism: Gallus gallus (chicken)
Lineage: Eukaryota; Metazoa; Chordata; Aves; Galliformes; Phasianidae
Exons: 2
Source: RefSeq, a predicted model, not a curated record